Molecule: ribosomal RNA, 485 nt
Filed under: uncultured bacterium
Lineage: Bacteria
Description: bacterial SSU rRNA
Rfam family: Bacterial small subunit ribosomal RNA
Source: RNAcentral
CGAACGCUGGCGGCGUGCUUAACACAUGCAAGUCGAACGCGAACGAUUUCUUUCGGGAAAUUUAGUAGAGUGGCGCACGGGUGAGUAACGCGUAAGUAAUCUACCUAGGCAUCUGGAAUAACAAUUCGAAAGGAUUGCUAAUACCGGAUACGUUGGAGACAAGAAAGGUGGCCUCUGUUUCAUGCUACCGUGCUUAGAGGAGCUUGCGUACCAUUAGCUAGUUGGUGGGGUAAUGGCCUACCAAGGCAACGAUGGUUAGCGGGUCUGAGAGGAUGAUCCGCCACACUGGAACUGGAACACGGACCAGACUCCUACGGGAGGCAGCAGUGAGGAAUAUUGCGCAAUGGGGGCAACCCUGACGCAGCGACGCCGCGUGGAUGAUGAAGGCUUUCGGGUCGUAAAAUCCUGUCAGAUGGGAAGAAAUGUAUAUGUAUUAAUACUAUGUAUGCUUGACGGUACCAUCAAAGGAAGCACCGGCUAACUCC